CUAGUCCUGCAGGUWWAGACGACGAAUUCGCCCUUCUUGGUCAUUUAGAGAAGUAAAAGUCGUAAACAAGGUUUCCGUAGGUGAACCUGCGGAAGGAUAUUAUUGAAUACGAAUCGGUUCUGAUGCUGGCCCUUCACCGGGCACGUGUCGCUCCGAAUCUAUUUAUCUUCUCUUGUGCACCUCUUGUAGUCUUUGAAAAGUGAACCUCUCGCAGCAAUGCGGUCUGGGGGACUGGGUCAAACCUUCCCUGCUUGCUUUCUUCUUGGCUAUGUUUUCAUAUACACUAUAAAGUUAAGAAUGUCUUUUAACGAUUGUCGCUCGCGCGCAGUCAUUAAACCUAUACACUUUCAGCAACGGAUCUCUUGGCUCUCCCAUCGAUGAAGAACGCAGCGAAUGCGAUAAGUAAUGUGAAUUGCAGAAUUCAGUGAAUCAUCGAAUCUUGAACGCACCUUGCGCCCUUUGGUAUUCCGAAGGGCAUGCCUGUUUGAGUUCAUUAAAUUCUCAACCUUGCUCGCCUUUACCGGCUUGAGUGAGGCUUGACGUGAGGGCUUUGCUGGCUUCCUUAAGUGGAUGGUCUGCUCCCUUUAAUGCAUUAGUGGGAUCUCUUGUGAACCGUCACUUGGUGUGAUAAUUAUCUCGCCUCGUCGACUUUGAAGCAAACUUAUGGGAACCUGCUUAUAACCGUCCGCAAGAGACAACUUUCUGACAUUUUGACCUCAAAUCAGGUAGGACUACCGCUGAACUUAAGCAUAUCAAUAAGCGGAGGAA
RNAcentral lists this ribosomal RNA (768 nucleotides) under uncultured fungus. RNAcentral describes it as "eukaryotic LSU rRNA". The stretch from base 343 to 494 matches the Rfam family "5.8S ribosomal RNA". Lineage: Eukaryota; Fungi. The record is from RNAcentral.